UUAUGAUUUUUCUCUUUAUAUUUUCCAAUCCAUUAUAGGAUUUCAAUCCAGAUUGGUUGUUAUUUGUUUUCCUUCUCUGUCAUACUUAUUGAUUACUUUUACCUAUUUUUUAUCGCAUAUGCUACUGGAGAAGAUGUAGCUCUGAAAGAGGAUUAAACGUUGAACCAAAAAGUAGAUAAGAGCUAUUCUUUAUUUUUAAUAGCAGGAAGUGGCAAUUAAAUGGUGUAAGGGGCUUCAAUUAAGGUAUAUUAAACAGAAGUUCCAGGACAUUUACAAAAUAUUAUGAAUCCAAGUGUACUUUAAAAGGGCUGUUGGACAUAAGAAUUUGUUCUACAUUGAUGACAAGGAUGUUGAGUUAUGAAUCCAAGUGCACUUUGAAAGGGCUGUUGGAUAUAAGAAUUUGUUCUACGUUGAUGACAAGGAUGUUGAGUUCAGAAAUAUGUUUCCUAAUGCUCUCCGCAUGGGUUUUGGUGCAGAAGUAGUUGAUGCUCGAAUCUCUCGACACUCAAGUUUGAUCAUCUAGAUGUGCCACGGUUGAAAAAACAAAAAGAGUUUUGCUGGUGUAGACAUGAAAACAAAAGUAUUAUGUACAAAAGGUACAAAAUGGGAGAGAGUUUUAAGGCAAAUGAUUCGAUAUUAUUCCAAACUUAAAAGGUACAAAAGUAGUUUGGGUUGGUUUGUGUUUUUCUUUUCUAUUAUAAAGUUGGGGUGUUUACCUAUUCCAUCUCUAUAUAUACUGCUAUAAUGGUUAUGAAUUUGGGCUGCUACCAAUAUCUCCGAGUUUGUGAGCACCAGAAGCGUGAGUGGUGUUAUUUAAGAAAUUAAGAUGGCAUAGUUUAAAACUUAUUAGAUGGAACAUUUUAUUUUAAUUUUUUUGUUGAAAGUCACAAUACCUUCAAUGUUUAUUGGAGGUUUCUACAUUUGCAGUAGUGUUAUAGUAGCAACUGAUUUGUCUUUUUAUUCUAACUAUAGAUAUAGCUUUGCAUUCGUUAUUAACGUUAUUCGAAGAAUCAUGUUGCAUCACAAUUUUUAAGCAUUUGGAUCGUAAGUUUUGCGUUUUUGUUUUUUAUGGAUGGGUUUCUAGAGUCAACCGUUGCAAGUUAAUGGUCGCCUUUGGGAUUGGAUCAACCGUGUGAACUUAGUUUACAAUUCAUUUAUCUGAGAAAUCUACGUCUCUCUUUUAAACUAUUUAUGAUUGUAGAUUACUACUGACUAAUGACUAUCGAGGUUAGCUUCAGGGUAAAGGGCAAUACUAAGCUGAAAUAAUUAUGAUUUCUUAUAACGACCAUAAAUGAAAGGGACAGACGUACGGUAUUCAGACAAAUUCCAAGUAAGACCCCAGAUCCAUUAGAAAUGGUAGAUGGGAUGGAAUUGGAAAAACAACUUGGAGAGUUUUCCAUUUCAUAAAAUUUAAAAGCUGCUGGGAUGAGUUUAUGUAUUCUCUGUUCAAGUCAUGCAACCAGCUUGGAGAGUACCUCAUUUGACUUUACUUUGUGCCAGUAAAUCGGUAAAGCAUCCACAUCUUAUGCCAUCAACUCGAUCCAAGAUGGGCAAGUUGCUAACGGUACCGGUGUUAUAUUAAGUGUAUGUGAUGGUGAAGUUGGGCACUACAAAACUGCUACAUUGACAACAGUUGUUGUUCCUGCACUACUGCUUCCUCCUCGGAUUGCCACUUUAGUUGAGUAUGUAACAUGUGCUACUCUGGGUUCUGAAAUUAUGGAGGAUCCGUUUAGUACUCCAGUAAAUUAAUCUUGGAGGGCUGCAGAUCCGAAGUUGUUUAACGGUGUAACGGGGAAAAUAACGAGAAAAUGAAUGAAGCAUUCCUGCGCCCCUACGCCGAGUAAGUUUCUCUCAGGUCAAGCUAUGAUGCAUAUGUAUGCGUUAAGCAUACAACUAUUCCUAGAAACAAACUCUGAUAUAUGUGUAUACACUAUAAUCUGUAUUGACACGUGGAGGACAAUCAGAAGCCGCAGCUGGAUAUAAUUGUAUAACAGCAUACACCGAAUCAUUUAUAAGCCUGCUUCAUUAUUAAGCUAAGGAUAAACAUGUCAUUUGGCGGAAGAUAUUUUCCCCUUAAAAGCCUGACGAUUAGGUCUGAAAAAAGGGGAGCGACUUCUUCUCUUCUCUCUCGACCUAAAAACUCUCUGCACUUCCCUCUUUUGUAAUGAAGUCCCGUUGGAACUGAGCAAGGAUUAAUGGAAACCUUAACUCUCUUUUACCCGUGGAUGUAGACAUUCUGUCGAACCACGUAUAUUAUUGUGUUCUAUUUUA
Molecule: long non-coding RNA, 2271 nt
Organism: Papaver somniferum (opium poppy)
Lineage: Eukaryota; Viridiplantae; Streptophyta; Magnoliopsida; Ranunculales; Papaveraceae
Exons: 7
Source: RefSeq, a predicted model, not a curated record